GUCUCUGCCAGCUCAUCGUUGAGUAUCGUUCAUUCCUUUAAAACACAGCAAGUUAACUUCGAAUUCUAUCUGCUGUUCUAAGGUCUUCAUUUAUCGAUUACCCGGAAGGUAUUGCAGAUAAAAGAAGAAAUGUCUCCCACUCAGUAUUAUCACGUACAGUGCACGCCAACCGUUUACCCGGCUGAUCCUUUCAACGCCGAGGAAGAUGCAGCUCUGUUAAGAACAGCGAUGAAGGGUUUUGGUACCGAUGAACAAGCAAUUAUUGAUGUCCUUGCUCAUCGCGGAAUUGUUCAACGAAUGGAAAUUGCGGAGAAAUUUAAAACAAUGUAUGGCAAAGAUCUAAUCUCCGAAUUGAAGUCCGAACUUGGCGGGAAUUUUGAAAAAGCUAUUGUCGCCUUAAUGACACCUCUACCAGAAUUUUAUGCCAAAGAAUUGCACGAUGCAAUUUCUGGUAUGGGUACGGACGAAGGUGCACUCAUUGAAGUUCUCGCAUCUCUUAGCAAUUAUGGCGUCAAAACGAUAGCUGCUGUUUACAAAGAGUUAUAUGGAUCUGAAUUGGAAGAUGACCUCAAAAGUGAUACUUCCGGUCAUUUCAAGAGGCUCUUGGUUUCACUAUCAUGCGCAAACAGAGAUGAAAGUUCAGAAGUCGACUUAGCAGCUGCAACAGAGGAUGCAGAAAAAUUAUUAUCUGCUGGUGAAGAACAAUGGGGAACUGAUGAGAGUACAUUUAACGCUGUACUGAUUACAAGAAGUUUCCCACAAUUAAGACAAAUUUUUAAAGAAUACGAACGCCUUGCUGGCCAUUCCUUGGAAGAAGCUAUCAAGCAAGAAUUUUCAGGUUCUCUCGAAGAUGGUUAUCUUGCAGUUGUAAAAUGCGCUCGAGACAAAACUGCAUACUUUGCAGAAAGACUACACAAAGCUAUGAGUGGAAUUGGUACGACUGAUUCAACUUUAAUACGGAUAAUAGUAGCUAGAUCAGAAAUUGAUUUGGGUGACAUCAAGGAUGAUUAUCAAAAGAUUUAUGGAACAUCGCUUGCAGGUGACAUUGAUGAUGACACUUCCGGUGACUACAAGAGACUCUUGCUUGCCCUACUCGGAUGAAAACGUUCCGAUCGUUCAACAACUAUUUCUUGCUUUUUAAAUCGUAUUUUAAUACUAUGGAUGAUACGUAAUGAUUUUUUGUUCUGAACUUUUUUAGAAAGUUCAUUAAUAUCUUCUCAAUAUAUUAUUAUCACGAUCGAGAGGAACGACUGCAGCGAAGACUUUAAACGGCUUCUGAUCGCACUUUUGAAUUAAUGACAAAUUACACGGUGACCUUUCUUCUUAUCCGAGAGAGAUAAUCAAUCUCAUGCAUCCUUUAUUUUAAGUAUUUAAUCAUUUGCGUAUCACGCUAUCAAUGUAAUAUUACUUAUCUAUAUUAUUUGUUUAAUAAAUAUGCACGUGUGCCUAAUUAAAUAUAUAAAUCAUUUGAUA
Molecule: RNA transcript, 1473 nt
Organism: Polistes dominula (European paper wasp)
Lineage: Eukaryota; Metazoa; Arthropoda; Insecta; Hymenoptera; Vespidae
Gene name: annexin B9
Source: RefSeq, a predicted model, not a curated record